GACGAACGCUGGCGGCGUGCUUAACACAUGCAAGUCGUACGGUAAGGCCCUUUCGGGGGUACACGAGUGGCGAACGGAUGAGUAACACGUGAGUAACCUGCCCACAACUUUGGGAUAACGCUAGGAAACUGGUGCUAAUACUGGAUAUGUGCUCCUGCUGCAUGGUGGGGGUUGGAAAGCUCCGGCGGUUGUGGAUGGACUCGCGGCCUAUCAGCUUGUUGGUGGGGUAGUGGCCUACCAAGGCGGCGACGGGUAGCCGGCCUGAGAGGGUGACCGGCCACAUUGGGACUGAGAUACGGCCCAGACUCCUACGGGAGGCAGCAGUGGGGAAUAUUGCACAAUGGGCGCAAGCCUGAUGCAGCAACGCCGCGUGCGGGAUGACGGCCUUCGGGUUGUAAACCGCUUUCAGCAGGGACGAAGCUUUUUGUGACGGUACCUGCAGAAGAAGCACCGGCUAACUACGUG
RNAcentral lists this ribosomal RNA (465 nucleotides) under uncultured bacterium. Its description in RNAcentral is "partial 16S ribosomal RNA". It matches the Rfam family "Bacterial small subunit ribosomal RNA", at positions 28 to 507 of the family's 1533-position model. The record is from RNAcentral.